Molecule: ribosomal RNA, 253 nt
Filed under: uncultured bacterium
Lineage: Bacteria
Description: partial 16S ribosomal RNA
Rfam family: Bacterial small subunit ribosomal RNA
Source: RNAcentral
UACAGGGGGUGCAAACGUUGCUCGGAAUCAUUGGGCGUAAAGAGCUCGUAGGCGGCUUGUCACGUCGGGUGUGAAAGCCCGGGGCUUAACCCCGGGUCUGCAUUCGAUACGGGCUAGCUAGAGUGUGGUAGGGGAGAUCGGAAUUCCUGGUGUAGCGGUGAAAUGCGCAGAUAUCAGGAGGAACACCGGUGGCGAAGGCGGAUCUCUGGGCCAUUACUGACGCUGAGGAGCGAAAGCGUGGGGAGCGAACAGG